GGCAGAGGUCUCGAGCGUUAGGCGGAAUCACUGGGCUUAAAGCGUGUGUAGGUGGAUGCCUAAGUACCUUGUGAAAUCCCACGGCUUAACCGUGGAACUGCUUGGUAUACUGGGUGUCUUGAGCCAGCUAGGGGCUACCGGAACAAAUGGUGGAGCGGUGAAAUGCGUAGAUAUCAUUUGGAACGCCAAUGGUGAAAACAGGUAGCUGGGGCUGUGCUGACACUGAGACACGAAAGCCAGGGGAGCGAACGGG
This 253-nucleotide ribosomal RNA is filed under the name uncultured bacterium. RNAcentral describes it as "partial 16S ribosomal RNA". It matches the Rfam family "Bacterial small subunit ribosomal RNA", at positions 524 to 776 of the family's 1533-position model. The record is from RNAcentral.